Molecule: ribosomal RNA, 494 nt
Filed under: uncultured bacterium
Lineage: Bacteria
Description: partial 16S ribosomal RNA
Rfam family: Bacterial small subunit ribosomal RNA
Source: RNAcentral
GACGAACGCUGGCGGCGCGCUUAACACAUGCAAGUCGAACGGAAAGGCCUGCUUUCCCUUGUGGAUUGCGGGUACUCGAGUGGCGAACGGGUGAGUAACACGUGAGUGAUCUGCCCCCAACUUGGGUAUAAGCCUGGGAAACUGGGUCUAAUUCCCGAUAGGACUGCAGGGUGGUGCCUGUGGUGGAAAACGAUUUUCUAGUGGUUGGGGAUGAGCUCGCGGCCUAUCAGCUUGUUGGUGGGGUAAUGGCCUACCAAGGCGGCGACGGGUAGCCGGCCUGAGAGGGUGGACGGCCACAUUGGGACUGAGAUACGGCCCAGACUCCGACGGGAGGCAGCUGUGGGGAAUAGUGCACAAUGGGCGGAAGCCUGAUGCAGCGACGCCGCGUGGGGGAUGACGGCCUUCGGGUUGUAAACUCCUUUCGACCGCGAGGAAGCCACCUGGUUGGAAGGGUGGUGACGGUAGUGGUAGAAGAAGCACCGGCUAACUACGUG